RNAcentral lists this ribosomal RNA (435 nucleotides) under uncultured bacterium. RNAcentral describes it as "partial 16S ribosomal RNA". It matches the Rfam family "Bacterial small subunit ribosomal RNA", at positions 29 to 507 of the family's 1533-position model. The record is from RNAcentral.
AGCGAACGCUGGCGGCAGGCUUAACACAUGCAAGUCGAACGGGCUUCUUCGGAAGUCAGUGGCAGACGGGUGAGUAACACGUGGGAACGUGCCCUUCGGUUCGGAAUAACUCAGGGAAACUUGAGCUAAUACCGGAUACGCCCUUUUGGGGAAAGGUUUACUGCCGAAGGAUCGGCCCGCGUCUGAUUAGCUUGUUGGUGGGGUAACGGCCUACCAAGGCGACGAUCAGUAGCUGGUCUGAGAGGAUGAUCAGCCACACUGGGACUGAGACACGGCCCAGACUCUUACGGGAGGCAGCAGUGGGGAAUAUUGGACAAUGGGCGCAAGCCUGAUCCAGCCAUGCCGCGUGAGUGAUGAAGGCCUUAGGGUUGUAAAGCUCUUUUGUCCGGGACGAUAAUGACGGUACCGGAAGAAUAAGCCCCGGCUAACUUCGUG